GACGAACGCUGGCGGCGUGCUUAACACAUGCAAGUCGAGCGAUGAAGCACCUUCGGGUGUGAAUUAGCGGCGAACGGGUGAGGAACACGUGAAGAAUCUGCCUUCAACUCUGGGAUAACUCCGGGAAACCGGGGCCAAUACCGGAUAUGAGCCUUGAUCGCAUGAUCGGGGCUGGAAAGUUUUUCGGUUGAAGAUGACUUCGCGGCCUAUCAGCUUGGUGGUGGGUUAAUGGCUCACCGAGGCGACGACGGGUAGCCGGCCUGGGAGGGCGACCGGCCACACUGGGGCGGGGACACGGCCCAGACUCCUACGGGAGGCAGAAGUGGGGAAUAUUGGGCAAUGGAGGAAACUCUGACCCAGCGACGCCGCGUGAGGGAUGAAGGCCUUCGGGUUGUAAACCUCUUUCAGUAGGGAAGAAGCGAAAGUGACGGUACCUACAGAAGAAGCACCGGCUAACUAUGUGCCAGCAGCCGCCGUAA
This 479-nucleotide ribosomal RNA is filed under the name uncultured bacterium. RNAcentral describes it as "partial 16S ribosomal RNA". It matches the Rfam family "Bacterial small subunit ribosomal RNA", at positions 28 to 523 of the family's 1533-position model. The record is from RNAcentral.